UUAAAUAUAAUUGAAAAAAAAAAAAAUCAGGUCAGAUUUUUUUUUUUUAUUCACAUGAGAUCUAAAAAUAAUUAAAAUGAAUUUCUUACAAAAAAAGUGGGAAAAUGUGAAUAGACAGAGCAACAGCAUUGUUUUGUGAAUGUUUCUCCAGAGUAUUAUUUUCUCUGCUAUCUUUUGAGAUGUUGUCCCAUUCUUAUGAAUUUCCCCUCAGCUAGCCCCGCCCACUUAUUCUCACAUAUUACUUUCACAGCUGCUUCAAGCAAUAUGUUCUCAAUGUUAUUCCUUUGCUAACUUUGAUACAGAGCUUUGCCUUCUAGUGGUCAGCAUACAGAUGUAAUUGUGCUAAAUCUGGCAGGAUAUAGGCUGGAAAUCGUCCUUGGCAUUGGCGUAUGGCAUAGCAGCUUCAUGGGAAAAAACAGCAGACAGGCAAGGAGUGGGCUCUGACUGAGGGUUGACUGAGGACUGAGGAACUCUGGUUUCGAUCUGGGAUAUUGACGUACCACUGCAAAUUUUGAACACUGAUACUGUAGUUGCAGGAAAGGAUAACAUAUUUUCCUGCCACCACAUGCUUCGCUGAGAAAAAUGGUUUUAUCAGAGAGAACCUGGGAAGCAGGAGUCACACCCUCAUCCAGAUUAUAAAAUCUAAAUAUGUAUGCAGAGAGGACCACCCUGUCGCCUUACAGAUGUCCUCCAAGGACGCACCUCUAGCCAAAUCCCAUGAGGAUGUCAUGAUCCUAGAAUGGGCUUGAAUACCCAAAGGCGAAGUGAAAAACCAACACGACGGUGGAUCUCCACAUGGUAACAUGUAGCACCAGGAUCUGAGACAGAACAGUAAAGUUGUGAAAAACCAACACGACGGUGGAUCUCCACAUGGUAACAUGUAGCACCAGGAUCUGAGACAGAACAGUAAAGUUGUGAAAAACCAACACGACGGUGGAUCUCCACAUGGUAACAUGUAGCACCAGGAUCUGAGACAGAACAGUAAAGUUGGUAAGUGUUAUAUCACAGGUUUUUGUACAGUGUAGAAGGGUUUCCU
Long non-coding RNA from Myxocyprinus asiaticus (Chinese sucker), 1036 nucleotides. RefSeq lists it as uncharacterized. The transcript is spliced from 6 exons. The record is from RefSeq and is a predicted model, not a curated record. Lineage: Eukaryota; Metazoa; Chordata; Actinopteri; Cypriniformes; Catostomidae.